RNAcentral lists this long non-coding RNA (474 nucleotides) under Ananas comosus (pineapple). RNAcentral's name for it is "long non-coding RNA (ACOM_LNC001758)". Lineage: Eukaryota; Viridiplantae; Streptophyta; Magnoliopsida; Poales; Bromeliaceae. The record is from RNAcentral.
AUUAGAGUUACCCUAUACAUGUAUUGAGAGUAGAUGAUGUAUAGGAUGUGAGGUAUUUUGAGAUAAAUGUAAACUAAUGUUUAUCUUUUGAAGAAUGUAAGCUUAUGUUCAUAGUUUGGAAAAGAAUGCAAGUUGUAAUUAAAUGUAUCGAGUUGAAUGGUUGUAAUAGAAUAGUUAAGUAUCUCUCUUUUGUUUCACUUGUAUGUCUUCUACUUGUGACGCUUGCUCUUGUAAUGUUCAGCACUGUUUGUGCUCUCGCUGUUGUUGCAUGAUCAUGUAUGUAUUCAAGUUGAUUUCCUGGGGACUUGUUGUACAUGAUCUCAUUGUUUAGCCUUGGGCGGACAGGGGAGACUCUGUCCGUUCGGCGGUCCGCCCGCCGCGCCCGAACCGUGCCAAAUUGGUAGCGGUCUCGGGGCGGGGCGUGACAAUAAAACCCAAUCCUAAGAAAUCUACCAUGGAUGGGUUUGGAGCUUA